GGGGAAUAUUGGGCAAUGGGCGAAAGCCUGACCCAGCAACGCCGCGUGAGGGAAGAAGGUUUUCGGAUUGUAAACCUCUGUCCUCAGUGAAGAAGAAAGUGACGGUAACUGAGGAGGAAGCCCCGGCUAACUACGUGCCAGCAGCCGCGGUAAUACGUAGGGGGCGAGCGUUGUCCGGAAUGACUGGGCGUAAAGGGCGCGUAGGCGGCCGAUUAAGUCUGGAGUGAAAGUCCUGCUUUCAAGGUGGGAAUUGCUUUGGAAACUGGUUGGCUUGAGUGCGGAAGAGGUAAGUGGAAUUCCCAGUGUAGCGGUGAAAUGCGUAGAGAUUGGGAGGAACACCAGUGGCGAAGGCGACUUACUGGGCCGUAACUGACGCUGAUGCGCGAAAGCGUGGGGAGCGAAC
Molecule: ribosomal RNA, 403 nt
Filed under: uncultured bacterium
Lineage: Bacteria
Description: bacterial SSU rRNA
Rfam family: Bacterial small subunit ribosomal RNA
Source: RNAcentral